AUGAGGUUGCUACUUGCCUGCUCCAGGACCGAGCAGCACUGGGAGUUCUGCCCAGCUCAGCACUUCGUUAUACUGUGGAAGCAGGAAGGAACUGGCCAGCAGGCAUUCCCAAGAGAACACUCAGAGGGACGCUGGUCCAGUGGACUGACAGGUGGCAGAUGCAAAUGGGAAUUGAGGUGGAAGCCGAGGACUGAGGACUUCGAGGGCAUCCCCAGGACUCCAUGCUGGAUACCUUCACUGACUGACGGGAGGGAGCGGGUUUGUAGGCAGUCUGGAUCCCUGAACCUCACCGAUCCAACCUCCUGCCUGUCUGCUGACUCCAGCCCUCCUCCCCCUCCUGCCUGCUGCCAGAGCGCCAGAGCUCCGUAA
This 369-nucleotide long non-coding RNA is filed under the name Ursus thibetanus thibetanus. RNAcentral's name for it is "lncRNA (ENSUTTG00000003535.1)". Lineage: Eukaryota; Metazoa; Chordata; Mammalia; Carnivora; Ursidae. The record is from RNAcentral.